This is an unclassified non-coding RNA of Papio anubis (olive baboon), 148 nucleotides long. It matches the Rfam family "Metazoan signal recognition particle RNA". From Rfam's summary of the family: The signal recognition particle (SRP) is a universally conserved ribonucleoprotein. The record is from Ensembl. NCBI's taxonomy places the organism in Eukaryota, Metazoa, Chordata, Mammalia, Primates, Cercopithecidae.
GCCAGGCGUGGUGGUGCAUGCCUGUAAUCCCAGCUACUUGGGAGGCUGAGGCAGGAGAAUCGUUUGAACCCAGGAGGUGGAGGUUGCAGUGAGCCAAGAUGGCGCCACUGCACUCCAGCCUGGGUGACAGAGUGAGACUUCGUCUCAA